This 2454-nucleotide ribosomal RNA is filed under the name Salmonella enterica subsp. enterica serovar Enteritidis. Its description in RNAcentral is "bacterial LSU rRNA". It matches the Rfam family "Bacterial large subunit ribosomal RNA", at positions 494 to 2925 of the family's 2925-position model. The record is from RNAcentral. Lineage: Bacteria; Pseudomonadati; Pseudomonadota; Gammaproteobacteria; Enterobacterales; Enterobacteriaceae.
ACCAGUACCGUGAGGGAAAGGCGAAAAGAACCCCGGCGAGGGGAGUGAAAAAGAACCUGAAACCGUGUACGUACAAGCAGUGGGAGCACAGGUUUACCUGUGUGACUGCGUACCUUUUGUAUAAUGGGUCAGCGACUUAUAUUCUGUAGCAAGGUUAACCGAAUAGGGGAGCCGGAGGGAAACCGAGUCUUAAUUGGGCGUUAAGUUGCAGGGUAUAGACCCGAAACCCGGUGAUCUAGCCAUGGGCAGGUUGAAGGUUGGGUAACACUAACUGGAGGACCGAACCGACUAAUGUUGAAAAAUUAGCGGAUGACCUGUGGCUGGGGGUGAAAGGCCAAUCAAACCGGGAGAUAGCUGGUUCUCCCCGAAAGCUAUUUAGGUAGCGCCUCGUGAAUUCAUCUCCGGGGGUAGAGCACUGUUUCGGCUAGGGGGCCAUCCCGGCUUACCAACCCGAUGCAAACUGCGAAUACCGGAGAAUGUUAUCACGGGAGACACACGGCGGGUGCUAACGUCCGUCGUGAAGAGGGAAACAACCCAGACCGCCAGCUAAGGUCCCAAAGUCAUGGUUAAGUGGGAAACGAUGUGGGAAGGCCCAGACAGCCAGGAUGUUGGCUUAGAAGCAGCCAUCAUUUAAAGAAAGCGUAAUAGCUCACUGGUCGAGUCGGCCUGCGCGGAAGAUGUAACGGGGCUAAACCAUGCACCGAAGCUGCGGCAGCGACACUGUGUGUUGUUGGGUAGGGGAGCGUUCUGUAAGCCUGCGAAGGUGGCCUGUGAGGGUUGCUGGAGGUAUCAGAAGUGCGAAUGCUGACAUAAGUAACGAUAAAGCGGGUGAAAAGCCCGCUCGCCGGAAGACCAAGGGUUCCUGUCCAACGUUAAUCGGGGCAGGGUGAGUCGACCCCUAAGGCGAGGCCGAAAGGCGUAGUCGAUGGGAAACGGGUUAAUAUUCCCGUACUUGGUGUUACUGCGAAGGGGGGACGGAGAAGGCUAUGUUGGCCGGGCGACGGUUGUCCCGGUUUAAGCGUGUAGGUGUGUGUUCCAGGUAAAUCCGGUUCACUUUAACACUGAGGCGUGACGACGAGGCACUACGGUGCUGAAGCAACAAAUGCCCUGCUUCCAGGAAAAGCCUCUAAGCAUCAGGUAACAUCAAAUCGUACCCCAAACCGACACAGGUGGUCAGGUAGAGAAUACCAAGGCGCUUGAGAGAACUCGGGUGAAGGAACUAGGCAAAAUGGUGCCGUAACUUCGGGAGAAGGCACGCUGACACGUAGGUGAAGUGAUUUACUCAUGGAGCUGAAGUCAGUCGAAGAUACCAGCUGGCUGCAACUGUUUAUUAAAAACACAGCACUGUGCAAACACGAAAGUGGACGUAUACGGUGUGACGCCUGCCCGGUGCCGGAAGGUUAAUUGAUGGGGUCAGCGCAAGCGAAGCUCCUGAUCGAAGCCCCGGUAAACGGCGGCCGUAACUAUAACGGUCCUAAGGUAGCGAAAUUCCUUGUCGGGUAAGUUCCGACCUGCACGAAUGGCGUAAUGAUGGCCAGGCUGUCUCCACCCGAGACUCAGUGAAAUUGAACUCGCUGUGAAGAUGCAGUGUACCCGCGGCAAGACGGAAAGACCCCGUGAACCUUUACUAUAGCUUGACACUGAACAUUGAGCCUUGAUGUGUAGGAUAGGUGGGAGGCUUUGAAGUGUGGACGCCAGUCUGCAUGGAGCCGACCUUGAAAUACCACCCUUUAAUGUUUGAUGUUCUAACGUGGACCCGUUACCCGGGUUGCGGACAGUGUCUGGUGGGUAGUUUGACUGGGGCGGUCUCCUCCUAAAGAGUAACGGAGGAGCACGAAGGUUGGCUAAUCCUGGUCGGACAUCAGGAGGUUAGUGCAAUGGCAUAAGCCAGCUUGACUGCGAGCGUGACGGCGCGAGCAGGUGCGAAAGCAGGUCAUAGUGAUCCGGUGGUUCUGAAUGGAAGGGCCAUCGCUCAACGGAUAAAAGGUACUCCGGGGAUAACAGGCUGAUACCGCCCAAGAGUUCAUAUCGACGGCGGUGUUUGGCACCUCGAUGUCGGCUCAUCACAUCCUGGGGCUGAAGUAGGUCCCAAGGGUAUGGCUGUUCGCCAUUUAAAGUGGUACGCGAGCUGGGUUUAGAACGUCGUGAGACAGUUCGGUCCCUAUCUGCCGUGGGCGCUGGAGAACUGAGGGGGGCUGCUCCUAGUACGAGAGGACCGGAGUGGACGCAUCACUGGUGUUCGGGUUGUCAUGCCAAUGGCACUGCCCGGUAGCUAAAUGCGGAAGAGAUAAGUGCUGAAAGCAUCUAAGCACGAAACUUGCCCCGAGAUGAGUUCUCCCUGAGACUUAAAGUCUCCUGAAGGAACGUUGAAGACGACGACGUUGAUAGGCCGGGUGUGUAAGCGCAGCGAUGCGUUGAGCUAACCGGUACUAAUGAACCGUGAGGCUUAACCUU